This 448-nucleotide ribosomal RNA is filed under the name uncultured bacterium. Its description in RNAcentral is "bacterial SSU rRNA". It matches the Rfam family "Bacterial small subunit ribosomal RNA", at positions 29 to 524 of the family's 1533-position model. The record is from RNAcentral.
AACGAACGCUGGCAGCAGGCCUAACACAUGCAAGUCGAACGCCCUAGCAAUAGGGAGUGGCGCACGGGUGCGUAACGCGUGGGAAUAUACCCUUCACUGCGGAAUAACGUUUGGAAACGAACGCUAAUACCGCAUAAUGACUCCGGUCCAAAGAUUUAUCGGUGAAGGAUUAGCCCGCGUUAGAUUAGCUAGUUGGUGAGGUAAUGGCUCACCAAGGCUACGAUCUAUAGCUGGUCAGAGAGGAUGAUCAGCCACACUGGGACUGAGACACGGCCCAGACUCCUACGGGAGGCAGCAGUGAGGAAUAUUGGACAAUGGGGGCGAACCCUGAUCCAGCCAUGCCGCGUGAGUGAAGAAGGCCUCGGUUGUAAGCUCUUCAGUUGUGAAGAUAAUGACGGUAGCAACAGAAGAAGCCCCGGCUAAAUUACGUGCCAGCAGCCGCGGUAAU